This 32-nucleotide non-coding RNA is filed under the name Homo sapiens (human). Lineage: Eukaryota; Metazoa; Chordata; Mammalia; Primates; Hominidae. The record is from RNAcentral.
AGCAUCUUGGACCUCAUGCCUGGGCCUGAAUU